This 390-nucleotide ribosomal RNA is filed under the name Triticum aestivum (bread wheat). Its description in RNAcentral is "partial small subunit ribosomal RNA". Lineage: Eukaryota; Viridiplantae; Streptophyta; Magnoliopsida; Poales; Poaceae. The record is from RNAcentral.
AUGACUGUGUCGCUCCUAACCGGAACGGGGAAGUUCAACAUCAGCGGCGCUGUCGUGGGACCUGCAGGGAGUGCAGGCCAAGCUGCACCGGGUGCACCGCCAGUUCGACGGGCUCAACAUGAAACUGUUGGUGGAGCACGCGGCAACGGCCGAGGAGCGCGCCCGGGAGGAGUGCCGGCUGGACUUCGUGGACAUGCUCCGGUUGGUGGCCUGGAGCAUGCCGGGGCGAGACGGACAACGCGAGUCGCGAGCAGAGGACGAAGCAAGGAUGAGCGCCGCGGGAUCGGCCGGGCCUCUGGGGGCAUGUCACAGGUGGCGGAGGCUGUGGGCGGGGCCGUCCGAAACGGAUCGGAGGCGAGGCUGCUGGCCGGAUCUGGAGCGGGCCGAUGA